Molecule: non-coding RNA, 28 nt
Filed under: Mus musculus (house mouse)
Lineage: Eukaryota; Metazoa; Chordata; Mammalia; Rodentia; Muridae
Source: RNAcentral
UGCACUCUCUGAGUACUGAGUUUCCCUC